Molecule: long non-coding RNA, 313 nt
Organism: Cuculus canorus (common cuckoo)
Lineage: Eukaryota; Metazoa; Chordata; Aves; Cuculiformes; Cuculidae
Exons: 4
Source: RefSeq, a predicted model, not a curated record
GAAUGAGAUGCGGGCCUCGGCGAGGUACGGGGUGUCGCUCUUGGAGCGGACUCGGCGGAUGGGUCUGCGGUCGAUGUCCUCCUCGGAAGAUGCCGCCAUUAAUGUGGGCACGCAUGCUCUCAUCAAGCCACCCGCUUCCUGCCUGCAAUAAAAGGAGAGCUCUGGAUGGGAUUCAUCUUGAUAACACCAACAUACAAGGGAGAUGCCUAGCUGAGUGGAUUCCUUCAAACCUGUUAUUAAAACAGUCCAUACCAAACGUUUGAAGCUUUAGAUAUUAUCCAUUUAUCCAAAGACAAAGAAAGAAGCACUGAUU